GGUGAGGAAUAGAUAGGUAACGUACCUCGGACUCGGGAAUAGCGGCGUCCUUCGGGACUUUAGCGAAAGUGCCGGUAAUACCUGAUGACAUCGCUGGAUCGCAUGGUCCGGUGAUCAAAGGUCCGCUGGUCUGAGCUCGGCCUAUCUCCUAUCAGCUUGUUGGUGGGGUAACGGCCUACCAAGGCUACGACAGGUACCAGGCGUGAGAGCGUGGCCUGGCACAUCGGGACUGAGACACUGCCCGGACAUCUACGGAUGGCUGCAGCAACGAAUAUUCCGCAAUGGGCGAAAGCCUGACGGAGCGACGCCGCGUGCAGGAGGAAGCACCUCGGUGUGUAAACUGCUGUCAGGGGCUAGGAAGCAAGUGACCAACCCCACAGGAAGCCUCGGCUAACUCCGUACCAGCAGCCGCGGUAAUACGGAGGAGGCGAGCGUUGUUCGGAAUCACUGGGCUUAAAGCGUGCGUAGGCGGGAUGGAAGGUGCUUUGUGAAAGCCCUCGGCUCAACCGAGGAAUUGCUUGGCAAACCGUCAUUCUUGAGGCCAGCAGGGGGACCUGGAACUUUGGGUGGAGCGGUGAAAUGCGUAGAUAUCCAAGGGAACGCCGAUGGCGAAAGCGGGGUCCUGGGCUGGUACUGACGCUGAGGCACGAAAGCGUGGGGAGCAAACAGGAUUAGAUACCCUGGUAGUCCACGCCGUAAACGAUGCGCACUAGGUCUCAGAACCUCUGACGGUUUUGGGGCCGUAGCAUAAGCGUUAA
Molecule: ribosomal RNA, 758 nt
Filed under: uncultured Planctomycetota bacterium
Lineage: Bacteria; Pseudomonadati; Planctomycetota
Description: bacterial SSU rRNA
Rfam family: Bacterial small subunit ribosomal RNA
Source: RNAcentral